Molecule: ribosomal RNA, 506 nt
Filed under: uncultured bacterium
Lineage: Bacteria
Description: bacterial SSU rRNA
Rfam family: Bacterial small subunit ribosomal RNA
Source: RNAcentral
GAUGAACGCUAGCGGCAGGCCUAAUACAUGCAAGUUGAACGGAUCUUGGACUUCGGUUCAAGGUUAGUGGCGCGCGGGUGCGUAACGCGUACACAACAUACCCUUAACUGGGGGAUAGCGGUGGGAAACUGCCAGUAAUACCCCAUACCCCUGCGAGGUGGCAUUACCUUGCAAGGAAAGUUACGGCGGUUAGGGAUUGGUGUGCGUCCGAUUAGCUAGUUGGCGGGGUAACGGCCCACCAAGGCGACGAUCGGUAGGGGGUGUGAGAGCAUGGCCCCCCACACGGGUACUGAGACACGGACCCGACUCCUACGGGAGGCAGCAGUAAGGAAUAUUGGACAAUGGGCGGAAGCCUGAUCCAGCCAUGCCGCGUGAAGGAAGAAGGCGCUCAGCGUUGUAAACUUCUUUUAUAUGGGGCGAAAAAACGGGAUUUAUCCUGGACUGACGGUACCAUCAGAAUAAGCACCGGCUAACUCCGUGCCAGCAGCCGCGGUAAAGUAGUCGUG